AUUGAACGCUGGCGGCAUGCCUAACACAUGCAAGUCGAGCGGAUGAAGGGGGCUUUCUCUUGGCUUCAGUGGGCGACGGGCGAGUGAUUCCUAGGAAUCUGCCCUACAUUUGGGGCUGACGUCCGUAAACGGGCCCUAAUACCACACCCGUUCUGAGGGUGAAAGUCGGGGAUCUUCGGUCCUCACGCUUUCUGAUGAGCCUAGGCUGGAUUAGCUAGUUGGUAGGGUAAAGGCUUACCAAGGCGACGAUCCGUAACUGGUCUGAGAGGCUGAUCAGACACACUGGAACUGAGACACGGUCCAGACUCCUACGGGAGGCAGCAGUGGGGAAUGUUGGGCAAUGGGCGAAAGCCUGAUCCAGCCACGCCGCGUGUGUGAAGAAGGUCUUCGGAUCGUAAAGCACUUUAAGUUGGGAGGAAGAGCAGUAUGUGAAUACGUGGCUGUCUUGACGGUACCAACAGAAUAAGCACCGGCUAACUACGUG
RNAcentral lists this ribosomal RNA (484 nucleotides) under uncultured bacterium. RNAcentral's name for it is "partial 16S ribosomal RNA". It matches the Rfam family "Bacterial small subunit ribosomal RNA", at positions 30 to 507 of the family's 1533-position model. The record is from RNAcentral.